Molecule: ribosomal RNA, 250 nt
Filed under: uncultured bacterium
Lineage: Bacteria
Description: partial 16S ribosomal RNA
Rfam family: Bacterial small subunit ribosomal RNA
Source: RNAcentral
UACGUGGGGCACAAGCGUUAUCCGGAUUUACUGGGCGUAAAGAGAUGCGUAGGCGUCUUCUUAAGUUACUUGUUAAAUCUCCAGGCUCAACCUGGAAACCGCAAGUAAUACUGGGAGGAUUGAGUUAGGUAGAGGAAAGGGGAAUUCCUGGUGGAGCGGUAAAAUGCGUAGAUAUCAGGAGGAACACCAAUGGCGAAGGCACCUUUCUGGACCUAUACUGACGCUAAGGCUCGAAAGCGUGGGGAGCAAA